This is a non-coding RNA of Alligator sinensis (Chinese alligator), 73 nucleotides long. NCBI's taxonomy places the organism in Eukaryota, Metazoa, Chordata, Crocodylia, Alligatoridae. The record is from Rfam.
GCCCCAGUGGUCUAAUAGAUAAGGCACUGGCCUUUUCAACCAUCAAUUGUGGGUUUGAGUCCCCCCUGGGGUG